Vigna radiata var. radiata (mung bean) is the source of this 1422-nucleotide long non-coding RNA. RefSeq lists it as uncharacterized. The transcript has 7 exons. The record is from RefSeq and is a predicted model, not a curated record. NCBI's taxonomy places the organism in Eukaryota, Viridiplantae, Streptophyta, Magnoliopsida, Fabales, Fabaceae.
AAGCUUUGCACACAUCAUAAUCCAGUGAGUAGUUUGCAGCAUUUCAUAUUGCAUUUUGCACCUAAGGUUGAAUGCAUCUUUGCUGUGCUAUUUUUCCCUUUCUCCAUCAUCAUUUCCAACUGAGUUUGACAAGCCAUCAUCAAAUAGUUAGAAAAACCAUUACCAAAUAAUUAGAAAAACCAAACCCCCCCAAAUUGAUUACGGCUCUGUUCAUUCUCAAUCAUCAAAUCCUCUGCGUCAAAUGAAAUCAGUAGCUAAAUGAAGAUUCAAUACAUGUGUUUCAUCUGCUUAAAUCAUAAAAGUGUACAAGGGAUAUUAUCUUCGCCCAUUUUCCCCCAUAAACCAUUUUUUUUCCUUAUCCCGGUUCCUCCAUCCCGCUGUGAGCACGAAAUUGCAAAACCUACCUUUUGCUUUUGUAUGUGUCGCCGGAAUCUGUGAGGAGGAGUCGCAGGCUACGGCGGAGAGAAUUAAGGCGGCGUUGAGAGAGGCUUACAGGAACAAGAAGCACCUCCCUUUGGACCUACGCCCCCAAGAAGACCAGAGUUAUCAAGACGUUUGACAAGCAUCAGGUUUCAUUGAAGACAGAGCAGUAGAGGAGAGAAGGAAAGAGCUCCGCGCCGUGGUCGGCGUUGAUCUUGGCCGUGAUUCGCGGCGGUCGGUUGGGAGAAGGAGGCGUGAGUGCGCCGGCGGCGGCUGGUCUCGUUGGGAUCAAGAAAAACGCGUCCCAAAGAGUGUUUCUUCGUCCCGUGCACGAAAGGAGAGAGAGAGGGCGAUGACGCCGCGGCCGGCGGUGGCUCCGGUGGGGCGUGGUGUCGUCGACGACGCCGAGACUGAUUGGCAAACAAGAGUUUGGGUUGAAACCAAUGAAUUGCCUAGGACACUGUCUGAUGUUUAAACACAGGGUUCGAUCAUAUAGAGAACUUCCUCUCCGUUUUGCUGACUUUGGAGUUUUGCAUCGGAAUGAGGCUAGUGGUGCCCUGAGUGGAUUAACACGUGUUCGGAGAUUUCAACAGGAUGAUGCUCAUAUUUUCUUCAGGUAGUCCCAGAUAAAGGAUGAAGUGAGGAAUGCAUUGAGUUUCAUCAAUUAUGUUUAUAGCAUAUUUGGUUUCACAUAUGAGCUGAAGCUUUCAACGAUAACUAUUUCACGUGUCGGAUACCUCAUUAGAGACAAGAGAAAUACCUAGGAGAUAUUGCAACCUGGGAUAAAGCUGAAAGUUCUCUUAAAGAAGCUUUAGAUGAUUUUGGCAAGCCUUGACAGAUGAAGUUUCUGUUAACAACCUCAAGAUCCCCUUGUCCUUUUCUCUACUACAGGCCCAUUCCUCCAGUCUGCCCUUGAUUCCUCUCUGCAUCAUAUCAUCUAAUUUGCUUAUGUUGGCAGUUUCAUUCUGUGUAUGACAACACCGAUUUCUUCUCUUCAUCUUU